This 4129-nucleotide long non-coding RNA is filed under the name Sus scrofa (pig). Its description in RNAcentral is "lncRNA (ENSSSCG00015036521.1)". Lineage: Eukaryota; Metazoa; Chordata; Mammalia; Artiodactyla; Suidae. The record is from RNAcentral.
UUUUUUUUUUUUAUUUAUUUAAGUAUAGUUGAUUUACAAUGUUGUGUUAACUUCUGCUGUACAGCAAAGUGACUCAGAUGUAUGUAUAUAUACAUAUAUAAAUAUAUAUGAGACAUGUUAUAUAAAUAUAUAUAAACAUAUGUGUGUAUUUAUGUCUAUAUAUAUUUCCAUACUCUUGAAAAAUAUGAAAUUGAAAUUCUUAAUAACAUCUUUGGGUUUUUAUUUUGUAAGUGAAGUCUAGUGAGGGUAUGGGACAUGUCUCCUGUCACCUCUGUGCCUCCCUGGGAUAGGUGCAGCUGCCAGCUCCCUUCAUUUUCUGGCCUCUCAGCCCUGUCCACUCUCCUCCUCACCCUACCCAGGACCAGGGGGACCUGGGCAACAGGCACAAGGAAGGUCAGGGUCAUGCGUCCUAGGGCAGGGCAUGGCAAUAGCUGUCCUGGAACGUCAGCACCGCAGUGCACCCCGUGGGCAUCUGGGUAGGGAUGAGGCUCUUACUCAUCCCCUGUGCAAGUGCAUCCUAGCAUGGAUGUUGCAGUCUCUUGGAGGUAUCCCUCCAAUGUGGUUUAUAGAAUAGAGGCCAGGGAAGACCUGGCUCAACUUCCCUACCUUUAACCAGAGCAUGGUCUGUUACUCCUACUAAUUGUUGGGGGUGGGGAGAACCAAGCAGCUGAUGGACCUUGAAGUCUCUCUGAACAAGAUAUCCUGCAUUUGCAUCUUGCACCAGGCCCUGCAAAUUAUAGAGCUGGCCCUGAUUCUAAGGUCUUUAUUUCCAGCCCAGAUUUCUCUUCCGUGUUGCAAAUGGUAUAUCUGCCUACAUGCUUGAACAUGGAUUCAUUUGGAUAUUUCUUAUGACAUUACAGAUUCAGCAGGUUUAAAACUGAGUUUAUAACCUCUGUCCCAAAAGUGUUUCUCUAAAUCUGGGAAUAGCACCACUAGUUAUACAAGCCAAUAAUUUGAGAAUCAUUUUGACUCCUUCCUCUCUCUCUUUUCCUUCCUAUCCAAGCAGUUGCUAAAUCCUCUGGCAUCUACUUCUGGAUAUCUCCAAAACAUUCUAUAUUUGUUACCCAUUGUUACAUUGCUGCAUAACUGCAUAGCAUGAUGUUUUACAGAGACUUGAAGUAGGAGAUUAAGACAUGCAACUAUCGGAGGGAAUGGAGUUUUAGACAGAAGGAAAACAAAUACAACAGUUCUAAGAAGAGGCAAAGAUGUCAUGGCUGAUAGAUCAGCCCCAAAUGCAGUGGCCUAGAGCAACAAUAAACAUAUUAUCUCAUAGUUUCUGUGAGUGAGGAAUUAGGAGCAGCAGAGUCAAGGGAUUUGGGCCUGCAUUCUCUCAAAGUUCUAGUCAAGAUGUUAGCCAGGGCUGCGGUCACCUGAAAGCCUGACUAGGGUUCUAGAUCUGAUCCUAAGAGAGCUUCCACUCAAGAUAGUUCCCUUUCAAGUGGUGCUGCUUGUUUACAGUCACCUCAGUUCCUUCCUACGUGGGCCUGUCUGCAGCCUUCUUGGGAGUCUUCAUGACACAACCUUGUCUUCUUAUACUCAAGCAAUUCAAGAGAGUGGGCCACAUGGAAGCCACAAUAUCUUUUAGAACCUAUCCUGGGAAAUCAUAUUGUUAUUGCUGCCAUUGGUUGCACAGGUCAGCCAGCUUCACUCACUCAGGGAGGGGCUCAUACAGAGCAGGAAGACCAGAGGCAGGGCUCUUUGGGAGCCAUCUUUGAGGCUGGCUGCCACGGCUGCCACCCAUCUCCACUAUCAUGUUCUGAUGUUUGGAUACAUACCCCCAUCAUUCUUCAUUCUAUUUUUUUUUUUAAUGGCUGCACCUGUGGCAUAUGGAAAUUCCCAGGCCAGCAGCCAAAUUGGAGCUACAGCUGUGGCCUAUGACACAGCCAUGGCAAUACCAGAUCCGAGCCACAGCUGGGAUCUACACCACAGCUUGCAGCAAUGCCAGAUCCUUAACCCACUGAGCCAGGCCAGAGAUAGAACCCACAGAGACAACAUUGGGUCCUUAACCUGCUGAGCCACAAGCGGAACUUCUCAUUCUUCAUUCUUAGUUAGAGAGAACUGACCAUGAGCUGGCCAAUUUCCUGGGUGUUGGGGAUUCGAUAGUAAAAGCAAAAAAACAAAGACAGCAUCCUGCCUUCAUGACCUUCCAUUCCAGAGAAUAAAAUAAGACAAAUGUACUUAUUUAUUUGUCUCUAUCCAGUGUGAUUCACACAUAAGUAAGUACAUUCGUCUUAUUUGCCUAGCCAAGAGCAAGAGAGAGUGAUGGCUGGGGGAAGGGUUUACAUGGAGCAGAUAGGGAAAACCUUCUGAUAAGGUGACAUUUUAGCAGAGAUCUGAAGACAGUGCGGGAAUAAGACAUGUAAAUACCUGUCCAUGAGACCAGAGUUUUAAGAAGAGGUAAAUGCAAGUGCAAAAGCCUCGAGGAAAGCACACUUAGUGUCAUCAAGAAAAGCAGAAAGGCUAUGGUGACUGUAGGUGGGGAGUGGUAGGAAGACAGGUUGGUGGGGGGAGGAAUGGCAAAAUCAAUUUUGCCAUCAGAAGAACUUGGGCUUUUGCUCUGAAUGAUGGGAAAGACGUUGGAAAGUUUUGAAUAAAUGGAUGGCAGGAUUUAACUUAUGUUUAAAAGGAUCUUUCUGGCUACCUUAUAGAAAAUAGACUAGACUAUGCAAAAGGAAGUAUAGAAGAAAGGAAGCAAUUAAGAGAUGAGUUUUUUCAUUAAGACAAUGGAUGAUGUUCUUGAACCAGAAUGUUAGCGGUAGGUGCGAAUUACAUAUGUGUUUGGAGGUAGAGCUGAGAAGCGUUUCUGAUAUACUGGAUAUGGGUGUGAGAAAAAAAGAGAGUCAAGAAUAACACCAGGGUUUGGACCUGAGUCACUAGGAAAAUGUAGUUGCCUUUGUUGAAGUGGAAGACCACAGGACAGUAAGGGGUGGAGGCGUUUGGUUCUGGACCCAUAAACUUGAAUUCACUAUUAGACAUCCAUGUAGAGAUGUUCAGCUGUCAUGAGACGAGUCUGGAGGAGAAAUCUGCAUGGGAGAUAUAAACUUCAGACUGGAUAAGACUGUCGGGAAAGUUUAUAUAAAGAGACAAGUCGAAGGACUGAGCUCUAGGACCCUCUACCCCGCUACCUGCAAUGGGAAAAUGAAGAAAAACCAGCCAAGGAGGCAGAUGGAAGGAGUGUCCAGUGAGGAAUGAAAAGGAAAGAAAAGGAGGAGGAUCAGUUAAAUUUUUUUCGAAAAAGGAGAUGCCUUCCUGUGUCAAAUGAAUCCAAUAAAAUGACUUUGUAAAGACUUCAAAUUUUCCUGUGACUGGAAUAGUUUUCUUUGGAUGUGAAGAGAAUUGAUCACUAGGUUUAGCAAUGGGAUGUCAACAGUGACCUCCCAGUAUCAGAGGAGUGGUAGGGGACAAAAGCCUGGAAUGGGUUCUCCAAUAUGUUUUUUUUCCAGUGCCACCAAACAGUUCUCCAGUUCUCAGAGGAUACUCGACUAUGUGUCCUGAUGUGAUUUAUCUGUGAGAUAGCAUCAGAUCACACAAAUUAAGCACGUAGCCCCACAAAAUUGCACUCCCUCUCCCACUUCAGAUGCCAAUUACGGGUCCAGGUUGUCACCUGUGCUUUUGACCAACCAGCUAUGGGCUGGAGGUUCCCACAGUCCCCAACUUGGGUUUGAUUAGUUUGUUAGGGCUGCUCAAAGAACUCAGAGAAACAUUUACGUAGGUUUACCAAUUUAUUAUAAGGGAUUUUAUAAAGGAUACUGAUUAACUGAGAGAUGAACUACAUAAGGUGAGAUCUGAAAAGUCCCAGACACAGGAGUCUUUUGUCCCCAUGAACCCAGGAUGCACCCCUCCCCCCCAGCCUGUGCAUGUGUUCACCAACCCAGAAGCUCAUCAAAUCUUGUUCACAAGAGGUUUUUUUUUUAAUCUUCUUUCAGUUCUUUUUUUAAAUGAUUUUUAUUUUUCCCAUUAUAGUUGAUUUACUACAAGAAGUUUUUAGGGCUGAAAGCUCUAACCCUCUAAUCAUGUGGGUGACACAAGCGGCCCCAUCUCAAGGCUAUCUAAGGGCACCCCUGGCAAGUUACAUCAUUAGCAUAAGCUCAAAAGGGGGUCCUCAUGAAGGACAAAAGACACUGCUACC